RNAcentral lists this ribosomal RNA (484 nucleotides) under uncultured bacterium. RNAcentral's name for it is "partial 16S ribosomal RNA". It matches the Rfam family "Bacterial small subunit ribosomal RNA", at positions 28 to 523 of the family's 1533-position model. The record is from RNAcentral.
GACGAACGCUGGCGGCGUGCUUAACACAUACAAGUCGAACGAUGAUGCUGGAGCUUGCUCCAGUUGAUUAGUGGCGAACGGGUGAGUAACACGUGAGCAAUCUGCCCUUGACUCUGGGAUAACUGCGGGAAACUGUAGCUAAUACCGGAUACUUUCACCGGAAGGCAUCUUCUGGUGAUGAAAGAAUUUCGGUCAGGGAUGAGCUCGCGGCCUAUCAGCUUGUUGGUGAGGUAACGGCUCACCAAGGCGACGACGGGUAGCCGGCCUGAGAGGGUGACCGGCCACACUGGGACUGAGACACGGUCCAGACUCCUACGGGAGGCAGCAGUGGGGAAUAUUGCACAAUGGGCGCAAGCCUGAUGCAGCAACGCCGCGUGAGGGAUGAAGGCCUUCGGGUUGUAAACCUCUUUUAGCAGGGAAGAAGCGAAAGUGACGGUACCUGCAGAAAAAGCACCGGCUAACUACGUGCCAGCCGCCGCGGUAA